CCCAUCCAUUUCUACUGAAAACCAGUCUCAAAGCUCUCUCUCUCUCUCUUUUUUUUUUGUUACCGGGGAGAAGCUGAAAUGUUUCGAUCAGUUUGGUAUAAAUUAGGUGCAAAUCUGAAGAGGACGCCUGCCAUCAUCUAUGGAGAAUCUUCUUCUUCUUCAUUAGCACCAACAGCAGCUAAGUAUUCUCACCUUACAUAAACUAGGAUUACUUCAAUCUUCUUCUCUUCCUUCUGUACUGAUACUAGUAAUAAUGGUGAUCUUACUUCUUCUGAUUCUGAUUCUUCAUUUGUGGUUUCUUAUCUGAUUAAUUCAUGUGGAUUGUCUGAAUCUGAAGCAAUUUCUACCUCUGAAAAACUCAAUUUCAAAACCACAACCAAACCAGAUUCAGUCUUAACAUUACUGAAAGCAUACGGAUUCACUGAACUCCACAUUUCUAAGAUAAUCACUAAGCAUCCGUCCAUUCUCUCAUCUGAUCCUCAUAAUACCCUAAAACCAAAAUUAGAUUUUUUCAAAUCCAAAGGGCUUUAUGGAACUGACCUGGCUGAUUUCUUCUCAAUUGGCCCGAGGAUCCUGAUGAACAGUUUCAGUAAAGUAAUAAUCCCUUCUUUCGAUACCCUUAAGGGCAUUUUAGACUCUGAUGAAAACGUCAUUAAAAUGAUUAAGCGUAAUUCUUGGAUUCUCAGUACAUGCGGGGUCGAAAAUGUGAUGGUCAAUAUAGAGCUUUUGAGAAAUCAAGGCGUCCCUGAAACUAAAAUAACUAAUUAUCUGAUCUGGCAUUCUAGAGUUUUUACUCAAGAUGCCGAUAAAUUUAGAAAGAUUGUAGAAAAGACUAAAGAAAUGGGUUUUAAUCCCUUAUAUACGACAUUUCUUGUAGCUAUCCAUGCACUGGCAUCAAUGACUGAAGUCAAUUGGAAAAAUAAGAUGGAUGUUUACAAGAGAUGGGGUUGGUCUGAGGCUCAAAUUCAAGCAGCAUUUAGAAGGAAUCCUCGUUGUAUGAUGGCUUCUGAGAAAAAGAUUAUGGCAAUUAUGAGUUUCCUUGUGAAUGAAAUGGGUUAUGAUUCAUCAAGUGCUGCUGAAUCCCCAUUAAUUUUUGAUCGUAGCUUGAAAGGGAGGAUUAUCCCAAGGUGUUCUGUUACUAAGAUUCUAGUCUCCAAGGGUCUGAUUAAGGAACUGAUUCCAUUAAGUGCAGUUUCAGCAAUGAUAGAUGAGGCAUUUCUGGAGAAGUUUGUAUUAAAGUAUGAGCAACAAGUUCCCGGACUGAUGAAGUUAUUUAAAGGUCAGUUGAAUUGCCAUCAGCUACUUCAGAACUGAAAGAUUUUUACGAGAUGAAUGUGCAGUACCGGUAUUGUACACUAUCCGAAUUGACAUAUUUACAGCAUACAUAGUCCCUUCUGCUUUAUGCGUGCUUUGUUAUUUCCAAAGUAAAAAUUGCAAGACCUCUUAUGUCUGCAUGAAGAAUAUCUCUUAUCAUGGUGUAGUUGUUUGAAUCUUACUUACUGCCAUGUUUAUCUACAACUGCUAUCUAGGGUUCAUCAAUUUAGAUUGUGAAACUAAAGGGUAUCAAAUUUGGGCUGGGUAUUUCUCAGUAGAGAUAAAGGAAGCAUAUAAUGGUUCUGUGUAUUUUGUGGGUACAUGGUAGGAUAGAAAAUGGGAUGAACGAAAGCUUCACAAAGUUCCGCUGUAUGCUCAGUUAUGAUUUUUAUUUCAUUAUCAGUGUAUGGUCUGGCAAAAUGGCCUUCGCUUAAUAAGCUAUUGUACUGCGACUAAGCUAUUUGCAAUCAGCCCUCUCCACCUCCUGCAGCAUCAACAUAUUUGUCAUUGCUGCUCGGAGAACUGCGCGUCUUCGUGGACAGGCUGUUGCUAGAGUUGCCAAAGCAGACAAAGCACAAGUCUUGUCGUCAUAUUGUCUGUUUUACUGGUUUAGUUUGUUUGAGUAUCUUGAGUAAUUUUUCUUUUGUUAACUUGAAUUCGCUUCGUUUUAAUAGGAUCUAAGUUGGGUUGGGAAGAUUUUAUGUGUUUCCUCUAUUCAUGAAUGUUUUUGUGAAAGUGCCUAACUGGUGUUUCUGAAUUUGACUAACUGGUGUUUGCCAAAGUUUGUAGUUUAAUUUAAAAAUGAUCUGGUGUUGAAUUAUUUAGAUAACUUUGAUGCACAUGCACCAAAGAGGGGCUUUAUCUAUUUCAUGGUUUUUGUGUACUAGGUAUUGUAGUAUAAAACAUAAAUCGAGUCAGGUAAGUUAUUUAUUUACCCUAUGUGCGAUGUGUAUCAAUGUAACUGACAUGUGGAAAGCAUAUGCCGGUUCUGAGGAGGUUGGUGUUGUUAUGAAUGAUUAAAGGAAGCUUAGUGCGGUCGAUACCUUUUUUCCUUGGGAAAGAUUAGGACUGUUCAGUUGGAGCACACUAAUGCGAAAGAGAACCUCCUGAAAGCUUCUUGUAAAGCUCCAGUUGGAACCCUUGGGGGAAAUUCAAUUGCUAUUGGGGGAAAUUCCAGAGAGAACUGUCUUCAUGCAGGAAUGCAUGAAACAGUUUUGAGGCCAUAAUUUGAGCUUGCAAAAGUGAGUCCGACUCUUCAAACUUGCACUAAAUGAGGCUGUUCGUACAGGUGAUUUGGAGUUGUUAAGGAAUGUUGCAGAUAGGUUUGCAAGUACUUUCAGCUCAGCAGGACUCUCAAUUUGAUUGUGAGGUUGCGAUAUAAUGUCAUCAGGACAGGGCUUCGCAGUAUAAGCAUCUCUUUCUUAUGAACUGAGGUUUUAUCUCACCAAAUCCUGUGGCGGAUGUUGAGAACGUUGUAGCCAAGGCAAUCCGAGAUGGUGCCAUUUAUGCAACUUUGGACCGUGCAAUUGGCUGGGACUGGGGAUGUUUACUCCACAAAUGAACCUCAAGCUGCUUUCAACUCGAGGAAUGCCUUCUGUGCGCUCACUGCGAUUCCCUCCAAAUUGACAUAAAAAGGGAAACGGAAAGUGCAGAAAAUAGGAGGGAAACACACCAACAGGAGCAGUUGCAGGGGCUUGCAAAACAUAUUUGCCGCGGAGGGUGGGAUGAGUUCUAAUUCUCACCGGUCUGCUUUUGUCAACUUGUUACCGAGACGGUACCAUAUCCGGAAAAACAGGUCUUGGUGGGUUUUAAAAUAAAAUAAAAAUGAUACUCCCUCCGUCCCACUAAUAAGUGACCUACAUCACUAAAUAAGGAGAUAUUUCUAAAAUUAUCCUUUUAAUUGAUUAUAAGAAAUAUGCAUAAUUUGAUAGUCGUGUUUAUACGUGUUUUAAAAUGUUUUUCAAUAAUACUAAGUUUGCGAAUAGAUAAAUCAUUUUAAAAUUUCACUAUUAAUUAUCCAUAAAUGGUAUAAUUAUAAAAAAUGCUUAAAAAUACUUUUUCUCUUACUUGCUUUAAAAAUUGUGUAAACUUAAACUAGGUUACUUAAUAGUGGGACAGAGGGAGUAUAUAAUCAUUUUUCAAUUUAUGAAGUCUAUAAACAUAAACUGAUAACCAUAAAUUUUACCAAAUGAAAAAUCUGUAGCAAUUUUAAAGUGAUAAACAACGAUGCAUAUAGGUAAAUGAUUUAUAUAAGUGAUAAACAACGAUCCUAACCAUUGAAGUGUUUACCAUAUACAAAUGUGGAUAUAGUCUUAUGGUUGCACGGUAAAUUCACCAGACUGGGACCACAACCUGUUGGUAAAAAGCAUGCGGUAAAAAUAUCAGGCUCGGAAUUCCACAGAUGUACAGUAAUAUUUUAUUUUAGGUUUUGGCUUUCCCUUUUCUUUUCCUCCCCCAUCCAUUUCUAGUUUUUCUUUUUUUUUUUUAAUUUAUUUAUUGAUUUCCCUUUUCUUCCCCCAUCUAUUUCUAGUGAAAACUGAAAACCAGUCUCAACGCUCCUUUUCUUUCAUUCAUUUUCAUUCCGGGGUGAAGCUCAAAUGUUUCGAUCAGUUUGGUGUAAAUUAGGUGCAAAUCUGAAGAGGGCGGUCAUCAAUGGAGAUUCUUCUUCUUCUUCAACAUUAUUAUUAGCACCAAAAGCAGCUAAGUAUUCUCACUUCACAGAAACUAGGGUUACUUCAAUCUUCUUUUCUUCCUUCUCUACCACUAGUAAUAAUAGUGAUCUUACUUCUUCUGAUUCUGAUUCUUCAUUUGUGGUUUUUAUCUGAUUAAUUCAUGUGGAUUGUCUGAAUCUGAAGCAAUUUCUACCUCUGAAAAACUCAAUUUCAAAACCACAACCAAACCAGAUUCAGUCUUAACAUUACUGAAAGCAUACGGAUUCACUGAACUCCACAUUUCUAAACUAAUCCCUAGAUACCCAGCCAUCCUCUCAUCAAAACCAGAUAAAACACUCAAACCCAGAUUCUAUUUUUUCAAAUCCAAAGGGAUUUAUGAACUUGACCUUGCCAACUUCAUCUUAAAACACCCAAUGAUCCUCAAGCAGAGCUUUGAUAAUGGAAUAGUACCUUCUUUUGAUAUCCUUAUGAGCAUUGUUCAGUCUGACCAAAACGUCAUUAAAAUUAUUAAACGAAAUUAUUGGAUUCUCAGUGCAAGCCAUGUUAGAAGAUUGAUGCUCAAUCUAGAGCUUUUGAGAAAUCAAGGUGUCCCUCAAACUAAAAUAUCUGUUUAUCUGAUCAAGCAACCUAGAGUUUUUGCUGGAGAUGCCAAUAGAUUUAGAAAGAUUGUAGAAAAGACUAAACAAAUGGGUUUUAAUCCAUUAAAUACUGCAUUUCUUGUAGCUAUACAUGGACUGGCAUCAAUGGCUGAAGUCAAUUGGAGAAAUAAGAUGGAUGUUUACAAGAGAUGGGGUUGGUCUGAAGAUCAUUAGCAUUUAGGAGGAAUCCUCGUUGUAUGAUGGCUUCUGAGAAAAAGAUUAUGGCAGUUAUGAGUUUCCUUGUCAACGAAAUGGGUUAUGAUUCAUCAAGUGCUGCUGAAUGCCCAUUAGUUAUUGAUUGUAGCUUGAAGUGGAGGAUUAUCCCAAGGUGUUCUGUUAUCAAGAUUCUAGUCUCCAAGGGUCUGAUUAAGGAACUGAUUCCAUUACGUGCACUUUCAACAAUGGUAGACGAGGCAUUUCUGGAGAAGUUUGUAUUCAAGUAUGAACAACAAGUUCCCGGACUAAUGAAGAUAUUCAAAGGUCAGUUGAAUUGCCAUCAGCUACUUCAGAACUGAUUGAUUUUUAUGAGAUGAAUGCGCAGUACUGGUACGCCUAUUAUCUGAAUUCACAUUUUUACCGUGCAUAUAGUCCCUUUUGGUUUAUGCAUGUUUUUGAAUUUACAAAGCAAAAAUUGCAUCCCCAUGUUUUUGACUUUACAUAGCAUGAAUCGCAUCACCUCUUAUGUAUGAACAGCAAGAAGAAUAUAUGUCAUCCUGGUGUAGGUGUUUGAAUCUGCAUUAUUGCCAUGUUUAUCUAUAAUUGCUGCAUAAGAUUUAUGAAUUUCAACUGUGAAACCAAAGGAUGUAUGGUGUGCCUUGAUAGAGAGAGAGGAAGCACAUAUGGGAUCUAUGUACUAUUUCAAAAUGGUAGGACAGAAAAUGGGGUAUAUGAAAGUUUUACGAGAAGAUUUGUUGUGUGCUUUAUUUUGAUAUUUUAUUUCAUUAGCAGUCUAUAGUCCGGUAACCAUCGAAUGGUCUAUUCAUUUUGCCCAAAAAACUAUCAAACUGCGACUAGCUAUUAUCAAUUAGUCAGAGUUCCACUUCCUGCAGCAUUCACAUAAUUGCCAUUGCUGCUAGCAGAACGGGGUGUCUUGAUGGACAGGCUGCUGCAAGAGCUGCUAAGGCUGUCAAAGCACUGAUGCCCAAGUCUAAUUAUCAUAUUGUCUGUUUUACUGUCUAGUUUUUUUUAGCAUCUUGAAUUUAACUUUCCUGGUCUCGGAUAUAAGAACUUAAAAAUAUUCUUUCUUAGUAAAUCCUGGGAGUGCUUAUAGAUCACAGAAAACCCCAUUGUGGACUGAUUGUGACAUUCUGUUAAGAAUUUGAGAGUUUUCCCGAAUCUAGAGGGUGUGGGAUAGAGGUUUUUCUGCAGUUAGAGAGUAAAAUCCUGGAUUCUGUUGCAUUUGGAGAGUUCAGGUCUUUCCUCAUAUAUGAAGAGACAGGUCUUUCCUCAUAUAUGAAGAGAUAGUUGGGUUUUUUGCUGCCGAUAAAGAUUGGAAGUUUGAAUUUUGGUGAAACUGAGAGAAGAAAAAAACAUGUGUCACAGAGAUGAAGCACUAGCAGCUCCCAGGUAUCCAGGCUACUAUAGUAUUAUGUAAUCUAUUGUGCGUAGCCUCGUUGUUCGGUCGAGUCUGGCCGAGUGUUCUUGAUCAGAGGGAUGAGUCUAAGGUUAUGUAUGUACUGUUUGAAGGAAUUAGUGAGUUCUUGAUUUGUUGACGAUGAUGCUAGUCAUUUUAAUUAUAAAGCCAUUUAAUUUUGUCUCUGCCAGUAUUAUGUUACCUAAUUCCAGAAUUUGAUUGAAAAUAAGAAGAUGAAAAAUUGAAAAUUGUACAGAUCUCCACCAUAUAACUUUUUUUAAAGACCCAUUGAGAUAACAUGUUCCUAGAGGGUAUGAAGGAAACCUACCUCAUGAAAAGAGUGGUUCUACUUCUAUGGUGUAUAUACCUACCGAGAAAAAAAAAAAUCAGCUUCCGAGUUCAACGCAACGGAUGGGUCAUCAUAGUUCCAUUGCUACUGGGAGAAAUACCAGAGAGAACUGUCUUAUGCAGAAAGACAUGGUAACAGUUUUGAGGCCAUACAUUGAGCUUACAAAUGCUGUUCAUAGGAAUGUUGCUCACAAGCUGAGGUUGGACUUGCCAAACCCUGUGGCGGAUGCUGAGAACUUUGUAGCCAACCCAAUCUGAGAUGGUGCCAUUUGAAUGCAACUUUGGACCAUGCAAAUGGCUGGAUGGUAUCAAAGGGACUGGGGAUGUUUACUCCACAAAUGAACCUCAAGCUGCUUUCAACUUGAGGAUUCCCUUCUGCCUCAACAUGCAUAAUGAGGCUGUGUGCACACUGCACACUGCGGUUCCUCCAAAUUCACAUAAGAAGAAAAAGCAAAGUGCAGAAAAUAGGAGGGAGAGGCACCAACUGGAGCAGGAGCUUGUAAAGCAUAUUGCCGAGGAGGAUGAUGAUUAGACAGGACCAUUCCCCGUAUUUGUAAAAGCUGGUGUUGGUAGGUUGUACAAUAAAAAUGAUAACGACAAACAUGUUUGGUGCAUUAAAAGAUGGUUCUGAUUUUGUUGCAUUUUGAGAGAUUGGUUGGUCGCCUCACUUUUAAGACUGCUUUUUAUUUUUUGAGUUGAGACGGAAUGUUUAAUCCGAGAUCAGUUGAGCAUAGCAAGCCGGAAA
RNA transcript from Papaver somniferum (opium poppy), 7290 nucleotides. RefSeq lists it as uncharacterized. The record is from RefSeq and is a predicted model, not a curated record. The transcript has 4 exons. NCBI's taxonomy places the organism in Eukaryota, Viridiplantae, Streptophyta, Magnoliopsida, Ranunculales, Papaveraceae.